This 1539-nucleotide ribosomal RNA is filed under the name Klebsiella variicola. Its description in RNAcentral is "bacterial SSU rRNA". It matches the Rfam family "Bacterial small subunit ribosomal RNA". Lineage: Bacteria; Pseudomonadati; Pseudomonadota; Gammaproteobacteria; Enterobacterales; Enterobacteriaceae. The record is from RNAcentral.
AAAUUGAAGAGUUUGAUCAUGGCUCAGAUUGAACGCUGGCGGCAGGCCUAACACAUGCAAGUCGAGCGGUAGCACAGAGAGCUUGCUCUCGGGUGACGAGCGGCGGACGGGUGAGUAAUGUCUGGGAAACUGCCUGAUGGAGGGGGAUAACUACUGGAAACGGUAGCUAAUACCGCAUAACGUCGCAAGACCAAAGUGGGGACCUUCGGGCCUCAUGCCAUCAGAUGUGCCCAGAUGGGAUUAGCUGGUAGGUGGGGUAACGGCUCACCUAGGCGACGAUCCCUAGCUGGUCUGAGAGGAUGACCAGCCACACUGGAACUGAGACACGGUCCAGACUCCUACGGGAGGCAGCAGUGGGGAAUAUUGCACAAUGGGCGCAAGCCUGAUGCAGCCAUGCCGCGUGUGUGAAGAAGGCCUUCGGGUUGUAAAGCACUUUCAGCGGGGAGGAAGGCGGUGAGGUUAAUAACCUCAUCGAUUGACGUUACCCGCAGAAGAAGCACCGGCUAACUCCGUGCCAGCAGCCGCGGUAAUACGGAGGGUGCAAGCGUUAAUCGGAAUUACUGGGCGUAAAGCGCACGCAGGCGGUCUGUCAAGUCGGAUGUGAAAUCCCCGGGCUCAACCUGGGAACUGCAUUCGAAACUGGCAGGCUAGAGUCUUGUAGAGGGGGGUAGAAUUCCAGGUGUAGCGGUGAAAUGCGUAGAGAUCUGGAGGAAUACCGGUGGCGAAGGCGGCCCCCUGGACAAAGACUGACGCUCAGGUGCGAAAGCGUGGGGAGCAAACAGGAUUAGAUACCCUGGUAGUCCACGCUGUAAACGAUGUCGAUUUGGAGGUUGUGCCCUUGAGGCGUGGCUUCCGGAGCUAACGCGUUAAAUCGACCGCCUGGGGAGUACGGCCGCAAGGUUAAAACUCAAAUGAAUUGACGGGGGCCCGCACAAGCGGUGGAGCAUGUGGUUUAAUUCGAUGCAACGCGAAGAACCUUACCUGGUCUUGACAUCCACAGAACUUAGCAGAGAUGCUUUGGUGCCUUCGGGAACUGUGAGACAGGUGCUGCAUGGCUGUCGUCAGCUCGUGUUGUGAAAUGUUGGGUUAAGUCCCGCAACGAGCGCAACCCUUAUCCUUUGUUGCCAGCGGUCCGGCCGGGAACUCAAAGGAGACUGCCAGUGAUAAACUGGAGGAAGGUGGGGAUGACGUCAAGUCAUCAUGGCCCUUACGACCAGGGCUACACACGUGCUACAAUGGCAUAUACAAAGAGAAGCGACCUCGCGAGAGCAAGCGGACCUCAUAAAGUAUGUCGUAGUCCGGAUUGGAGUCUGCAACUCGACUCCAUGAAGUCGGAAUCGCUAGUAAUCGUAGAUCAGAAUGCUACGGUGAAUACGUUCCCGGGCCUUGUACACACCGCCCGUCACACCAUGGGAGUGGGUUGCAAAAGAAGUAGGUAGCUUAACCUUCGGGAGGGCGCUUACCACUUUGUGAUUCAUGACUGGGGUGAAGUCGUAACAAGGUAACCGUAGGGGAACCUGCGGUUGGAUCACCUCCUUA